Long non-coding RNA from Octopus sinensis (East Asian common octopus), 2277 nucleotides. RefSeq lists it as uncharacterized. The record is from RefSeq and is a predicted model, not a curated record. Lineage: Eukaryota; Metazoa; Mollusca; Cephalopoda; Octopoda; Octopodidae. The transcript has 3 exons.
AUUCGAAUGCUUAGCUAUAAAGAAAUUCUGUUCUUCUACAACAACACGAAUAUCCAAUAAAUGUACUUUAUGCAAACAUCAGUUACUCAUUCACUCGCAGAAAGAAAGAUACAAAAAUUAAAUAUAAACCCUGAAACGGUUCUCUCCCGUUAAGGAGAAUAUUCGCCCUGUUUGUCAUCUCAUUGUACUCAUUCAUUCUCUCUCUCUCACUCAUGCUCUUUCUCUCCGUCUUUUCAAGAAAGUUGCUGGUUAAAAGUUUCAAUACAAUAAAUGAUAUCAUCUUCAUCUUUUCUCAUCUGCUCUCCAUGCUCCCAUACACUAGGUGGGUCAUCACUGUCCAAGUCAGUUGUAUCUGAAAUUACUGUCAACCGUCAUUUGUUGAGGAAAACAUUGCAGCUUUUCUAAGGUGGUAGACCCUUUCUAACCCCAACCACUUUAUAAAGGGUCGUGGGUAUAUUUUAUUGUCGCACAAGCAUUAGAAAUGAUCAUCAAUUUCCCAACAAUAUCAAACGUUCCUUUCAAACUUGUGGUGUCAUCUUUCCUAGUUUCCACCAACCACUUCCUAGUGUGUUCUGGGAGCAUUUAAUUAUAGCACAAGUAGUAAUCAAGUUGUGUUACAUUCUAUAUAAUUAGACGGUCCUCACUACUCUAUGAUGUUUUGCUUCACUGAAGCUGAUGACAUUUUCAGGAGGUGAGAAGGGAAUGUGAUGACAAAAGAAUCAGGAUGCGGGGAGAGAAAUUUGCAAUACUCCCUCUCCUGGCUGUGGGGUCUCUGUCUUACAUGUCUGUUGGCUAAAUAUGCCAGUACUUGUGCUUUACACAAAGGGGCCACGUACACUCUGUGAGGUGGUUGGCAUCAAUAAGAACAUCCUACCGUAGAAAACCAUGCCAAAGAAACCAUCUGGGGCCUGGUGAAGUUGUCUGGCUUGUCAGAUCCUGUCAAGAUUUCCAACCCAUUCCAGCAUGGAAAACAAACUUUGAAUGUUGAUGAUGAUGAUGAUGACGAUGCUGUCUUCCAGUAACUCAUCAUAAUUCUUAUAUAUAUAUAAUUAUCGCUUGUUACGAUGUUUGAAUAACGUUUACUGUCCAUAUAGACAUCGUUAUACUGACAAUUGUUGGCUUUGAGAUGGUUUCAAUUGUAACAGAGGCACUGUUUUCAGUCUUCCACAUUUUGGUUUUACUUCCGACUUGAUUGUUCUGUUGAAAUUAGAUCAUGGAACCUGGUCAUUGUUAUUUGACCAAGAAAAGAAUUCAUCAUUAGUAUUCGGUACUGGAAAUGGUUACAUUUUUCUAUGGUUUCUCAUGGAACUACCAUAAUAUCAACUGUGCUGAGACACAACCAUAUUAAUUGUAACAAAUGUCACAUGUUCUUCACACAGAUUUUAUACAAUCUAUAUUGAUAGUUAGUGUUUAUACGCCGCAUUAACAUGAUAAUUAAUCAGCUAUCAUUCAUUAACUCUCUUAAACUUGUCUUUGUGAAUGUUUCAUAGCAUUAUCUUGUACCCUCAUCUGAUAUUUUACACCUUGUUACCCUCAAAGUUAACAUAACUUUUACAUGGGUACACAACCACAUCCCUACGAACUAGUUUUUACAGCUGUAUGCCCUUCCCACAAUAAUAAAGUGUUGAUUAUCAAUAACUAUAAUGAAAUUAUACUAUAAAACGUAAAACUUGAAAAUAUUCAUUUCAAAGACUCCAACUUCUGUGAAGGAUGCCUUGACAACAUCACAGCCAGUUGAGAGUCCAGUUCUGAAGGAGAGGGAUCUUCUGAGAGUGGCUAAGAGGUUAGGACGUGAUUGGUGGCAAAUAGCGAUUUUUUUAGAAGUUGAUACAACUGAACUGAAAAUUGAUGAUGAGUCUAUUGACACUGUAAAACAAGGCUACCUGAUGCUUAAGGAAUGGUUCAAAAAUUGCGACCCAGAAACACGGACACACGCAACAUUACGUGCAGCUCUUGAAGAAGCUGAAUGUUUCGCUGCGAUGGAAUGUCUGUCAUUAGACGCAAAGUGAAUUUCUGUGUAACUGUUGUUGUUUAGCCUCAGAUUAACCUUGACCAAACAGAGACUUAUGAUCAAACGCAUUCCAGUCAGGACCAUCAUGCCUAUUUCCAAAGAGAACCCACAACCACAUUGUCCAAUAUGCCCUUCUGUACAGUGAUAUCGUGUGAAUUUAGCUGCUAAUUCUAGCAGGUAUAUCAGCCACAUAGUGAUCCCUUCACUGGUUUGGCUCCUUUGUUAAAAAUUCACAUUUAAAAUAAAGACAAACUUUGAAAUGUUCA